Molecule: long non-coding RNA, 1278 nt
Filed under: Olea europaea subsp. europaea
Lineage: Eukaryota; Viridiplantae; Streptophyta; Magnoliopsida; Lamiales; Oleaceae
Source: RNAcentral
CAACUGCUUCAAAGAGGGGCUCUCAAACCAUCCAAAACUCCCAAACGAGGAGUUUAAAGAGUGGAAUCGACCAGAUGAUUUGGAAAAAUGGGAACUGAAGUUGUCUUUGACUUUUGCCAGCAUAAUGUUAGGGCUCACUUUGGGACUCAUGCCUCUCGGCCUUGUUAAUCUUGAAGUUCUUGCCAAAUCAAGCACUCCAAGGACAAAAAUAUGGCAUUAUAGUUUUUCUUCUAAUUUUGUUUUGGAUUGAAGUUGCCAAUUGAUUUUAAGGCAAUUGGUAUUUCACCUCAAUAUUUUGGUUUUUGUUAGAAUAUGGUUCAAUAGAGUUGUUGUGGAUUUCAUGAUUUUUAACAAUAAGUGUUGUGCGGUCAUCAAUAUUAGUUGAUUUAAGUAGAGAAUUUAUUAGAUACCUCCAAGGAACUAUUGUUGGUCUGAAUGUAUUUUGGUGGAAGUAAUACAUGUUUUAGGGUGGGUGAUGGAAGAGUAUGGUAUGGUUGGAUAUUGGAGGAGAUGUACGUUGUUGUUACGAUGGGAGAAUAUAUGAAGUUUGUGAGGUUUGCAAACAAUGGAGACAUGCUACUGGAUUCACAAUACAGAUGCCAGAAAAAUAACUUCUGCAGGUCAUCAGAAUAUGCACACCAAGUGUUUGACAUAUUGUUUUAUCCAAUUCCAUAUGACAAUAUGCACACUAUGAUCAUAUUCAGAAAGGACAUAGUUCAAACUUGAAUUGACAAGAUCAUCGAAUUUCUUGGUGAUCUUCUCAUCGAACAAAACAUGAAUCUUCAAGAAUAUAGAGUCCAAACUUCCAAGGAAACUGGAUGAAUACAGUGCAUAACCUGUUGGCCGAACUCCAAGAUGUAAGACUUGAUUCGAACUUGAACCUUCGACCAAGGAACAUAGAAAUUUUUGCCAACAAACUGAUCCUGGGAUGAAGCUGACCAAUGCACUGAACUGGCCGAAAUUCACCAGAAAACUGUAACAGUCAAAGCAGCCCCAAGAAUUGAGACUAAAAUCAAGCAUCUCCAAAGAAAAGCACCAAGAAACCGGGCAAAACUUUGCACAAAAUUGCUUGAACAAAGCAUAUGAUCUCUUAACAUUUUCAAAUCUGCCAAGAGAUGAAAAACUUGGAAUUUUCAAGGACAUUGCUAAAUUAAUUUGAUCGGUCUUCGACCAACCUUUAAGAGACUUGAAAUUCUUUGAUGAUAGCAUUUCAAUUAUUUCAUGAGCAUGCCUACCCUUUUGGCCGAACUUUGAGACUCCAAGGGACUUGAAACCUUC